RNAcentral lists this ribosomal RNA (505 nucleotides) under uncultured Actinomycetes bacterium. RNAcentral's name for it is "bacterial SSU rRNA". It matches the Rfam family "Bacterial small subunit ribosomal RNA", at positions 355 to 866 of the family's 1533-position model. The record is from RNAcentral. Lineage: Bacteria; Bacillati; Actinomycetota; Actinomycetes.
UGGGGAAUAUUGGACAAUGGGCGAAAGCCUGAUCCAGCAACGCCGCGUGAGGGAUGACGGCCUUCGGGUUGUAAACCUCUUUCAGUAGGGACGAAGCUAACGUGACGGUACCUACAGAAGAAGCACCGGCCAACUACGUGCCAGCAGCCGCGGUAAUACGUAGGGUGCGAGCGUUGUCCGGAAUUAUUGGGCGUAAAGGGCUCGUAGGCGGUUUGUCACGUCGGGAGUGAAAACUCGGGGCUUAACUCCGAGCCUGCUUCCGAUACGGGCUGACUAGAGGUAUGCAGGGGAGAACGGAAUUCCUGGUGUAGCGGUGAAAUGCGCAGAUAUCAGGAGGAACACCGGUGGCGAAGGCGGUUCUCUGGGCAUUACCUGACGCUGAGGAGCGAAAGUGUGGGGGAGCGGAACAGGAUUAGAUACCCUGGUAGUCCACACCGUAAACGUUGGGCGCUAGGGUGUGGGGACUCAUUCCACGAGUUCCGUGCCGCAGCUAACGCAUUAAGCG